UAAGGAAUAUUGGUCAAUGGAGGCAACUCUGAACCAGCCAUGCCGCGUGCAGGAAGACGGCCCUCUGGGUUGUAAACUGCUUUUAUUCGGGAAUAAACCUAUCUACGUGUAGAUAGCUGAAUGUACCGAAGGAAUAAGGAUCGGCUAACUCCGUGCCAGCAGCCGCGGUAAUACGGAGGAUCCAAGCGUUAUCCGGAUUUAUUGGGUUUAAAGGGUGCGUAGGCGGCCUAUUAAGUCAGGGGUGAAAGACGGUAGCUCAACUAUCGCAGUGCCCUUGAUACUGAUGAGCUUGAAUGAACUAGAGGUAGGCGAGAUGUGACAAGUAGCGGUGAAAUGCAUAGAUAUGUCACAGAACACCGAUUGCGAAGGCAGCUUACUAUGGUUUUAUUGACGCUGAGGCACGAAAGCGUGGGGAUCAAACA
This 422-nucleotide ribosomal RNA is filed under the name uncultured bacterium. Its description in RNAcentral is "bacterial SSU rRNA". It matches the Rfam family "Bacterial small subunit ribosomal RNA", at positions 355 to 774 of the family's 1533-position model. The record is from RNAcentral.